This 823-nucleotide ribosomal RNA is filed under the name Gastrotheca orophylax (Papallacta marsupial frog). RNAcentral describes it as "partial 16S ribosomal RNA". It matches the Rfam family "Bacterial large subunit ribosomal RNA", at positions 1436 to 2569 of the family's 2925-position model. Lineage: Eukaryota; Metazoa; Chordata; Amphibia; Anura; Hemiphractidae. The record is from RNAcentral.
UCCCUACACCUCCCACUAACCCUUCAACAGUACUGAGUAAUUCUAUAUUCCUAUAGAAACUUUUAUGUUAAAACUAGUAACAAGAAGAAGACCUUCUCUUAAAUGCAUCUGUAAAUCAGAAAGGACCAACCACUGAUAAUUAACUUCUAUGAACUCAAAGUAACAACUCAACUAGAAAAAAUUACUAACCAUAACGUUAACCUAACACAAGAGCAUUACAAGAAAGAUUUAAAGAGAAAGAAGGAACUCGGCAAACAUUAACCCCGCCUGUUUACCAAAAACAUCGCCUCUUGGAAAACAUAAGAGGUCCAGCCUGCCCAGUGACACUGUUCAACGGCCGCGGUAUCCUAACCGUGCGAAGGUAGCGUAAUCACUUGUCCUUUAAAUGAGGACUAGUAUGAAUGGCACCACGAGGGUUAUACUGUCUCCUUUCUCUAAUCAGUGAAACUAAUCUCCCCGUGAAGAAGCGAGGAUAUUUCUAUAAGACGAGAAGACCCUAUGGAGCUUUAAACAAAACAACAUCUGCUACUUUCACUUACCGAUUUCAGAAAAUUAACUCUUAUUUUAGCAUUAUACUUGUUAGUUUUAGGUUGGGGUGACCGCGGAGCAAAAAAUAACCUCCACAUUGAAAGGGACUUCCCCUAAGCAAAAAACCACAACUUUAUGCAUCAAUAAAUUGACAUUAAUUGACCCAAUAUUUUGAUCAACGAAACAAGUUACCCUAGGGAUAACAGCGCAAUCCACUUUGAGAGUCCAUAUCGACAAGUGGGUUUACGACCUCGAUGUUGGAUCAGGGUACCCCAGUGGUGCAGCCGCUACUAAA